RNAcentral lists this long non-coding RNA (2292 nucleotides) under Pan troglodytes (chimpanzee). RNAcentral's name for it is "long non-coding RNA NONPTRT015576". Lineage: Eukaryota; Metazoa; Chordata; Mammalia; Primates; Hominidae. The record is from RNAcentral.
GUCACAGACCCCUCAUUUCAGGGUCUGUCAUCGAAUUCAGAGUAGUUCAUGAGGCUGCUGUGGACCAGAGUGACCCAGCAUAAUCCCUAUCCAGAAUUUUAAGACAAAUACAAUGCUACCAAAUCCACUUUUAUUUUGUAUUUCUGUGUGUGUGUGUAUGUGUGUGUGCACGUGUGUGUGUGUGUGUGUGUGUUUUGGUUAAAAAAAAUCUGCAAGAGAGGAAGAAAAAUACACAUCCAUCCGUGGCGUAUAUUCAGCUGUGAUCAUGAAAAUACUGAGUUAUUGUCCGAAAUCGUGUAAAGCAAGAACCUGCAUUAAGAAAGCAUAGCUAAGCAAACAGGCCCGGGACCCAUAUCUGCUGACAUACCGUGCUAUCCUGAGACUGCCGCAGAACAUUUGCAAAGCCGUGUUCUCUAAGAAUUCUGCACAGUGCAAACAGGCAUGAGGGGAAAAAAUACUACUAGGGAACUUCUAGUUCUUGCUGAAAAGGAAAAUUUUGAGCUCUAAAUCUAGCACUACCAAGCAAGAGAGGCAUCUGUGGCUGCAUAUAAAGCUGGUACUCCUUUGCUUGAACAAAAUCCCUCAGUAUACAGUACUUAAAAUAAACAAAGCUCAAAACAGUCAGCUACACACGCAUGUUUUUUGGCCACAUGCUGCCUGAAGAAAAUAGCUAUGCAGUGUGCAUGCCCUAGUUUAAACCAAGCCUGAAUACCGCACAGUCUCAUUCCUCUCCCGGUCUCCUUUUCUAGACAGAAAUACAUUUCCCUUUAAUGUACAAGUGAGAAAAAAAUAUGUUUAAAAGACAGUCCAGGCCCUUGAUAAAAGCACUUACUUUGAAAGAACAGGACAGACUACGUAUUCAAAACAAGAGCGCCUUCUUAAAGUGCAGGCUCAGAAGUUGUUCAAUGGCCAGGACCUUGAUUUGUGCUGGCGGCUCUGGUCCUGCUGGGCAUGGUUAAGGGCGAGGCUCGCAGCCCGCACGGCGUGGUCCUUCAGGGGUGCUGCGUCAGGCUGACGCUCCGGAACAGUUACUGGGACAGGCUGUGAGCGACUCACCAGGACAGUUUUAUUUCUGUGCUGAGCUUGCUGCUUCCUGCUGGGAAAAUGUUAGUGGCGGAGUCACACCCAGUUUACUAAUUGUUUAACUGCAAAGCUUGACUCUGGAAAUAAAAAAGGAAUGAGAGCAGAAGUGGAGACUUCAUAAAGAAAGUGAAUGGGGAUCCAAAAGGAUCCAGCUCCAGCUCCUGGAAGCUUACCCCACCCCACCAAAGAGAACCUGGAUGGAACCCUCUUUCAUCAGGAAUAAACUGGAGCCCAAGGAAAUGAAGGAAUCAGAUGGGGACCAAGUGACCUGUCCACACAAAAGCCAUCUGAUGAGUGCUUCUACUCCCUGUUCGCAGCCCACCUUCAGCUACACAGAUCUGCACGGCCCCUUGCUUCUGCCAUAUGGGAUCCAGCCUGACAGCAGCGAAUGAGUGCACAGAUUUCAAGUAGAGGAAAUCCCCAGGAAAUGAAACAAAGUACAUUUGCUUUUGAAAAGCCAAGCCAUACGGACGACAAACAAUAUGAUGAAAGGUCACUCAGAACCCCACCCUAGAAGAAAGCCAGAAGUCCUGGUUCGGACUGUGGAGAGAAGCUGGCUGCUCCUCACCUGCUCAUCUCGCUACCUGCGAUGAAGCUUCUUUCUGGAUGAUAUGAAGUAUCUUAUCUUUCCCGUACCAGAAGCUGCAAUCUAUUUCCAUGCCUCUCUCUCUCUGAAUCUGCCUUUUUCUAUUGAGGCUAUCACACCUUCUAUUAUGCCCAUUGUGUUGCUAUACCUACUUCCAGCUUUGCUGCAUUUUUGGGAACUGGAGAGCUCCAAUAAACACAGGAAGAGAGGAGCAAGUGGAGGCUUUGAGACUGACUGGUGCAGGCCUGGAGCUACUGAGGGCAGGUGAAAUGUGCAGGUAGGCAGAGGUCUGGGCUGAUCUUCAGAGUCCAGUUGCACCUUUAUCCUGGAAAUCAGUUGUGGAGUCAGAUAUACUGAUCCCUAUUUCUAGCUUCCACAACAGUAUUAUUUUGCACCAUUUUGGAAGCUUUCAUAAAACUAUUUUUAUGGAAGUUAUUAUUUGGGGGAAGGAGAGGCAUCCAGGAAAAUCUAUCAUCGACCUACUAAAUGGACCGCACCACCACCUUUUCCAAUUACAUAUUUUUCCACUGGAUAAUAUUUUAAGAUUCUACAGACACAUGAGUGUCUAAGACAUUGAAAAGCAAACAGCAGCAUCUUUCAACAUAAAUAUAUUAAAGCCCAUA